GGCUCAGGACGAACGCUGGCGGCGUGCUUAACACAUGCAAGUCGAACGGUGAAGCGGGUGCUUGCACUCGUGGAUCAGUGGCGAACGGGUGAGUAACACGUGAGUAACCUGCCCUCCACUCUGGGAUAAGCGCUGGAAACGGCGUCUAAUACUGGAUACGACCGACCCUCGCAUGGGGUGUUGGUGGAAAGAUUUAUCGGUGGUGGAUGGACUCGCGGCCUAUCAGCUUGUUGGUGGGGUAAUGGCCUACCAAGGCGACGACGGGUAGCCGGCCUGAGAGGGCGACCGGCCACACUGGGACUGAGACACGGCCCAGACUCCUACGGGAGGCAGCAGUGGGGAAUAUUGCACAAUGGGCGAAAGCCUGAUGCAGCGACGCCGCGUGAGGGAUGACGGCCUUCGGGUUGUAAACCUCUUUCAGCAGGGAAGAAGCUUUUGUGACGGUACCUGCAGAAGAAGCACCGGCUAACUACGUGCCAGCAGCCGCGGUAAUACGUAGGGUGCGAGCGUUGUCCGGAAUUAUUGGGCGUAAAGAGCUUGUAGGCGGUUUGUCGCGUCUGCUGUGAAAAUUCAGGGCUUAACCCUGGACGUGCAGUGGGUACGGGCAGACUAGAGUGUGGUAGGGGAGACUGGAAUUCCUGGUGUAGCGGUGGAAUGCGCAGAUAUCAGGAGGAACACCGAUGGCGAAGGCAGGUCUCUGGGCCAUUACUGACGCUGAGAAGCGAAAGCAUGGGGAGCGAACAGGAUUAGAUACCCUGGUAGUCCAUGCCGUAAACGUUGGGCGCUAGGCGUGGGUCUCAUUCCACGAGAUCCGUGUCGCAGCUAACGCAUUAAGCGCCCCGCC
This 844-nucleotide ribosomal RNA is filed under the name Kytococcus sp. RKEM 512A. Its description in RNAcentral is "bacterial SSU rRNA". It matches the Rfam family "Bacterial small subunit ribosomal RNA", at positions 21 to 873 of the family's 1533-position model. Lineage: Bacteria; Bacillati; Actinomycetota; Actinomycetes; Micrococcales; Kytococcaceae. The record is from RNAcentral.